GCAAUCUGGUCAUAGGCCUGCUACAGCAUGGCAAGAGAGAAGGUAAGGCUGUCUCAUGGGAUAGCCAUGCCCAUUUGGAGUGGCAGAGGCUCCUUCCAAAGGUGCAAGCACAGUAGUAUGGGACCACUUUUCAUCAGGAGCAGCAAAGAUGGCAACAGGGCAUCCCUCACCAGAAGUAGGGGUAGCAGGAGGAGUGUCCCAAAUACCUCCUCUAGAGCUAAGGUGUUGAGGUGGGCUAGACCUUCUGCACUUCAGCUGCCACACAGUCCUGCCAGGAUGGCAUUGGCAGGGUCAGAAAUUCCCAUCCAUCUCAAUGGAAAGGAAGUACUUGUCUUCCCCCUCUCCUUCAGUGCUAUCAUCUCCAUCAAUCUGCAGACCUCUGCAAACACUGCUGCAUCAAUUAAGUCUCACUGCAAAGGUUGGAAGGCUAUUAAAUGAAAGCUAAAAUUUUGAGAUUUGCAUGACUUCAUGGCCAUGCCUAGGGCCCUAGAUUUUGAGUAUCUCAUCUUUAUCCUAACAUCUUUCUACUCCUCAGUAUUCUUCUGGCCAGUGUCCACAUUGUGAAUAAUGCAGUGUAGUUUUGUUACUUAUCUUGUUCUGCUUUAGAACUCUGGUUUUGCCCAACCCUUCCCUGAAGUCUUAGCCCUGUAAAAAGUCUGCAGCAACUGAUGAGUUACCUAUGAGAACUGAACUAAGCAGUCGACAAAGUUGUUUUGCAAAAUUAGCCUCCAGGAGAAAACAUUUCCAAACUGAUCAAAUAUGGAAGUGUUCUAAAUAGAUCCUCAGACUUGUAGGACCAGAAAGGCAUAUUUGGCUGUCCACUGUGAAUUCUUCCUCCCUCCCAGAAGCUACAGUACUGCUUUCCUGCAGAAGAUGCAAAAAGUCUAUCCAGGCCAGACUGGUUAAACACUGCUUCCCCCUCUUCUCCCCCUCCCCCCUCUAAAAUGUUACCUUCUACUUAACACUGUUUGGAAGAUUUUUCUGUCUUUAACUUUUUAUAUAGUUCUUGCUUCCCCUAUUUUGUGGACUUGCCAUACAGCAAUAGGAGGAACUCCUCUUUAGUUUUCAGGAAGAGUUCAUACUUUAAUCUCCUGGGAAGACUGGAGGAGGAAGGUGUAGAAAAAGGAACUAGAAAACUGACCGUUCCUCUAAACCUAAUCCUAGUCAUGUGCCUGUCAGACAAGAAUAAGCUGUACUUCUGCCUUCCUGCUGGAAUUGCACGCUACAUUGCAGAAAACAUAAUUGGACCCCUACAAGAUCAGCACAUUCUUAAGCCACACAAAAUGUCUGAGAAACUCAGUGGGAAGUCUUGACUGGCAAGCUAGUGACCAUAUCUGCACAACUUUUGUAUUCCUUUUCUGCCAUCCCAUAUAAAGGGGUUUUAGGACCAGGUGGAAUUCACCAAGAGUUCUGAAGGAAUUCAAAUAUGAAACUGCAGAAUUACUAACUGGGGUAUGUAACCUAUCACUUAAACCAGCUUCUGUACCAGAUGACUGGAGGAUAGCUAAUGUAUUGCUUUGUGCUUAAAAAGGCUUCAGAGGCAAGCCUGGCAAUUAGACUAGUAAGUCUAACUUUAGUACCAGGGAGACUGGUUGAAACUCUAGUAAGAAACGGAAUUAUCAGACGUAUAUGAACACAUGUUGGAGAGUCAACAUGAGUUUUGUGAAAGGAAAUCCUGCCUCAAUCUAUUGGAAUUCUUUGAGGGUCUCAGCAAGCUUUGAUCCAGUUGAUAUAGUACUUUGUCAUAAAUCCUUUGACAAGGUCCCCAUCAAACACUCUUAAGCAAAGUAAGCUGUCAUGGAAUAAGAAGGAAGGGCUCAUGUCUCGGUAACUGGUUAAGAGACAGGAAACAAAGGGUAGAAAUGGUCCAUUUUCACAAUGGAGAGCAAAAUAGGGUUGCCCAGGGAGCUGUCAUGGGACCUGUACUUUUAACAUAUUCAUAGAUCUGAAUAAGAUUAAACAGUGAUCUUAAGUGGUAAACAAAGCUUGCAGGUGAUGCAUCUGCUCAAUGUGUUAGCUUUGGCAGCUACUACAAUCCUAGGAACCACUAGGAAAGGAUAAAGAAGACAAUCAUUAUGCUACUAUAUAAAUCCACAGUACACCCACGCUGAAUAGAGCAUGCCAUUCUGGUUGCCCCAUCUCAAGAUGUAUUAGAAUUGCAAAAGGUGCAGAGAAGAGCAACAAAUGAUUAGCGGUAUAGAAGCUUUUUUUUGUACAAGGAGAGAUUAAAAAGACUAGAACUGUUCCCCUUAGAAAACUGACUAAGAAGGGAAUAUCUAUAAUCUCAAAUGGUGUGUGGAAAACAAAUCAGGGAAACAUUUACCCUUUCACAUGAUACAAAAAUCAGGUCACCCAAUGAGGCUAAUAAACAGGAGGCUUAAAACAAACAUAAGGAAGUACUUCAACCAAUGCAGUCAACUUGUGGAGCUCAUUGCCAGGGGAUGUUGUGAAGGCAAAAAAUGUAACUAGGUUUUUUUUAUCAUCCUAAGUCUAUGGAGGAUGUGUCCAUUAGUGGCUAUUAGCCAAGAUGUUCGGGGACACAAUCCUACACUCUACAUGUCUCAACCUCUGGUGUCCAGAAGCUAAGACUAGGGGAUGGAUCACUUGAUGACUAUCUUGUUCUGUUCACUCUCUCUGAAGCACCUGGCACUGGCCACCGUCCAGAUACGGGGCUAGCUGGACUAUUGGUCUGACCAAUAUCGUUGUUCUUAUGUUCUCAGUCUCAGCAGAAAGUUGUGCCAUCUCCUGAAGUUUGCCAAAAUCAGAAUCCAAUUUUGAAUACACUAAACUUAUAGCUUACUACAUCCUACCAGUGUAGAAUUUUCCUAUUGCCAGCUAAGGGCUGACUAAAUCUAAACCCCUUAUCUCCACCUAAUAACUACAGGAGCAAGAAACUGACUAGUUCCUGUCCAUAUAACUAAAACAUGCUUUCCAAAAGCACAACUUCAAACUUAAAUAAUCACAUGAGAGGAAUCUUUAGUGCUUCUGUGAUUACAAGAAUAUGGCGUGUGGGGAAACUGAUCUUAUUAGCAGGUUGAAACUACAGAAACCUUUGACUCCCUGUUAGUUUCUCUUCCUUCUGUUUUCCUGCAAAAUAGCUAGUCCAAAGUAUUUUUAUUGGGGGCAGAAUGUAUCCAAAAUCAUAACACAGUAUGGUUCUAGAAAUGCAUUCAUUUUUAAGGCUCUCCAAUUGUAUCCUAAGGCAACUAGAAAUCUAGUGGUGUAACUAUGAAGCAAAAACCUAUUACAAUUUUGCCUGGGUGGAGGAAGGUCAGAAUUUACAUGUCUGAGGUCUCUGAUAAGUGAAAUGGUUACAAUAUUGCUGACAACUUAACAUUUGUAUUUUAUGCAAGAAGUGGAAGCUGUCUGGGUCUGUCAGGGACCAACAAUCAUAGAUUCAAAGGCCAGUUAGACUAUAGGAUGGGGUGGGCAAACUUUUUGGCCCAAGGGCCAUAUCAGGGUGAAAAAAUGUAUGCAGGGCCAGGUAGUGAAGGCUGUGCCUCCCCAAACAGCUGGAUCCCCACUCACUGUCCCCGACCACUCCCCAGGACCCCAUUCAUCCAAUCCUCCGGCCCCC
Molecule: long non-coding RNA, 3577 nt
Organism: Dermochelys coriacea (leatherback sea turtle)
Lineage: Eukaryota; Metazoa; Chordata; Testudines; Dermochelyidae
Exons: 2
Source: RefSeq, a predicted model, not a curated record